RNAcentral lists this unclassified non-coding RNA (1167 nucleotides) under Hevea brasiliensis (rubber tree). The stretch from base 1 to 98 matches the Rfam family "Small nucleolar RNA SNORD14", at positions 17 to 111 of the family's 111-position model. The record is from RNAcentral. Lineage: Eukaryota; Viridiplantae; Streptophyta; Magnoliopsida; Malpighiales; Euphorbiaceae.
UUGUUUCUCAAAACAUUCGCAGUGACCACCUAAGAGCUUUCGCCUUCACCAGGCUUGAGAGCUUGUGCUGCUUUAUCCUUCCUUGGAUGUCUGAAACCCAAUUCCUGUGGUAGGCUUCAGUAUGUGUUUUAAGUUUUUGUUUGGAAAUUGAAGUUUCAGAAUCGUUUCAGAAGUUGCCUGUUAUCGUUUUGUUUGGUUGUUGGCCAAGGCAGUGUGUGAUUUUGGAAUUUACUUUCAACAAAAUUCUUCUUGUUAUUGAAUGUAUCAUUAGAAUUUAAUUUUUUUUUUUGGCUAAAUAAUUCAUUUUAAUGAAGCUAUCAAUUAUUUUAUAAUAUUCUCUUUAUGAAUAUGGUUAUAAUUUUACUCUCUGUUUUGAAUUAUGAUCUGGCGGGGGAUUUCCAUGAAGAAAUCCUUUACUUGAGUUGCAGCAAACAAGAAAUCAAUGUUUGUAUAUUCCAUAAGUAAACGUCAGAUAGAAAUUCUCUGAUGCGUUGAGGUCCUCCACCAAUUUUAGGUGGAGCUCCUCCGCGAGAAGAGCAGGACUCAUAUUCCAUCGCCUUGUGUAGCGGCAUCGUCGCCAUUACAAUUUGGGACUGGCCAUGAGUCAGACAUUGUUAUCUAAAUGGACAAACAAAUAGAUGGUUUGAUGUGUUUGUAAAUUCAAAAGUAAACAGGCAACAGUAGGGCUCAUGGGACCUGAUAUGAGACUUGUAUUUGCUUUACUAAUGCUUUUUUUGGUGGUUUGGUUAUACAAUGUUGCCAAUGAUGAUAUCAUUAUACCAAAUUACCAUCUUUUGGGACUGAAUGGCUUUAAUGCCUUGCUGUCAUUCUGCAAUUCUGAGGCACAUUGGUUUUGCUUCUUUUGCUUUUCUCAAAUAUGUGUCAAAAGAUAAGGGCUCAGAGGGUGUUUGGAUGAGAGGGUAUUUGAUUUAACUGUUUAUAGGCGCAUAAGUAGAUGAUAUUAAUAUAGUACUUAUUAUGAGUUGGUUUUAUUUUUAAAAUUAUCUUUGUUAACAUGUAGUUAAUUUAAUUUUUUAUUUGAAUGAUGUUAUUUUUUUUUUAUUAACUUUGAAAAUUAAUGUUAUGAAUAUUUUAUUUUUUUUAUUUAUAAUUAUAAUUUUUUAAUUAUUAUAUUUUAAUUCUAAUAAAAUAUUUUUUAUUGACGAG